This 738-nucleotide ribosomal RNA is filed under the name Triticum aestivum (bread wheat). Its description in RNAcentral is "partial small subunit ribosomal RNA". Lineage: Eukaryota; Viridiplantae; Streptophyta; Magnoliopsida; Poales; Poaceae. The record is from RNAcentral.
AUGCCGGUGCCACCGUCACCCUUGGAGGUUCGAAGGGAACAGCUGGAUACCAUGGUGAAUGGAUGCAGUGAUGUUGGUUUCGUUCAAAGGAAGCCAGGGCGUGGUGAUACAACAUUGUCAGUGAGCUGUUUUGACAAAAUUAAUCGCUGGUGUAUUGUUGGGAUUCAAGGCGCAUUGCUGUCACACAUUCUCGAACCCUUGUAUUUGUCCACCAUUACCAUUGGACAAUCACCUGGUGGUGCACCUGACGGGUUUUGUAUUGAAAGUAACGUUGUAAAAGUUCUUGGUGCUCGCCUGUCCUGUCUAUCCAGAAAAUUCCCUGACCCUUUCAAACCGAACAAGCCACUAUUUUUUGAGGCACCUAUCCCCCCUCAAGAGUUUCAACAGACUUCAGGAGAUAUACCGCCUUUGACUUGCGGGUACUCAAUAUGCUGGAAUAAAUCCGGUUUGCAUGAAGUUGUUUUAGGAACAACUGGGAGAAAACAAGGUACAUCUUCAAAGGCAGCGUCCUUGCCCUCCACUGAGUCAUUGCUCUGCAAGAUAAGAUUGGCAGAGGCCUUCAUAUCACUUGAACAUUCACUAGUCACAAAAUUCCGUCAUGAGAACAUUUCUUAUCGUGCAAUUAAGGAUAUGGCUUGUGAGUACCAGCAGAUGCUUGAUCUUCUUAGAAAGGCUCCAUUUUUUGCCCGGUGGCAUGCUAAGCCAGUAUCGGUUGAUUCGUUUACAGUUCCACGGUGA